GGGUUGUGAGGUUAAGCGACUAAGCGUACACGGUGGAUGCCCUGGCAGUCAGAGGCGAUGAAGGACGUGCUAAUCUGCGAUAAGCGCCGGUAAGGUGAUAUGAACCGUUAUAACCGGCGAUUUCCGAAUGGGGAAACCCAGUGUGAUUCGUCACACUAUCAUUAACUGAAUCCAUAGGUUAAUGAGGCGAACCGGGGGAACUGAAACAUCUAAGUACCCCGAGGAAAAGAAAUCAACCGAGAUUCCCCCAGUAGCGGCGAGCGAACGGGGAGGAGCCCAGAGCCUGAAUCAGCAUGUGUGUUAGUGGAAGCGUCUGGAAAGGCGCGCGAUACAGGGUGACAGCCC
This 345-nucleotide ribosomal RNA is filed under the name Salmonella enterica. RNAcentral's name for it is "partial 23S ribosomal RNA". It matches the Rfam family "Bacterial large subunit ribosomal RNA", at positions 1 to 373 of the family's 2925-position model. The record is from RNAcentral. Lineage: Bacteria; Pseudomonadati; Pseudomonadota; Gammaproteobacteria; Enterobacterales; Enterobacteriaceae.